Molecule: ribosomal RNA, 70 nt
Filed under: Vibrio parahaemolyticus
Lineage: Bacteria; Pseudomonadati; Pseudomonadota; Gammaproteobacteria; Vibrionales; Vibrionaceae
Also listed under: 3 other names
Description: partial 16S ribosomal RNA
Rfam family: Bacterial small subunit ribosomal RNA (bases 1-61)
Source: RNAcentral
GACUGGGGUGAAGUCGUAACAAGGUAGCGCUAGGGGAACCUGGCGCUGGAUCACCUCCUUAUACGAUGAU